CUUAGUCUAUGUAUAUACUGUAUCCUACUGUAUCUUAGUCUAUGUAUAUACUGUAUCCUACUGUAUCUUAGUCUAUGUAUAUACUGUAUUCUACUGUAUCUUAGUCUAUGUAUAUACUGUAUCCUACUGUAUCUUAGUCUAUGUAUAUACUGUAUCCUACUGUAUCUUAGUCUAUGUAUAUACUGUAUUCUACUGUAUCUUAGUCUAUGUAUAUACUGUAUCCUACUGUAUCUUAGUCUAUGCUGCUCUGACGUCGCUCGUUCUUAAUUCCAUUCCUUUACAUAGUUUUGUGUGUAUUGCUGUGUCAUUUGUUAGAUAGUACUUGUUAUAUAUUAUUGCACUUGUCGGAGCUAGAAACACAAGCAUUUCGCCACACCCGCAAUAACAUCUACUAAACGUGUGCAUGUAACCGGUAAGAUGUGAUUUGGCAUAGGGAACAGGGGGCUAUUUGGGAUGCACAUGCUGUCGAUAACAUCUGCUAGAUAUGUGUAUUAUGUUCCCAAUACAAUGUGAUUUGAUCUGAACAGGACUUGAACUAUGCUGUGCUCAGAUAUGUUCUAUUCCAGGAAACUGUGUUGUAUGACUAAUCAUUAACCUGGCCAGCACAGCACAACUUGGUUGGCCCUAUAAUAUAAAUUAGGCAUUUAUGUGAGAAAAGUAACAACUUCUAGGAAAAGGUUUGUCAAAUUCCAGUAACUCAGACAAUUAGAGCAGGGCGCUGGAAAGCUAUGGUCCUGUAGGUUUUAACUCCAACCCUGUUCCUGGAGAGCUCCCCUCCUGUAGGUUUUAACUCCAACCCUGUUCCUGGAGAGAGACCCUCCUGUAGGUUUUAACUCCAACCCUGUUCCUGGAGAGCUCCCCUCCUGUAGGUUUUAACUCCAACCCUGUUCCUGGAGAGAGACCCUCCUGUAGGUUUUAACUCCAACCCUGUUCCUGGAGAGAGACCCUCCUGUAGGUUUUAACUCCAACCCUGUUCCUGGAGAGAGACCCUCCUGUAGGUUUUAACUCCAACCCGGUUCCUGGAGAGAGACCCUCCUGUAGGUUUUAACUGCAACCCUGUUCCUGGAGAGAGACCCUCUCUCACUAUUCCCUAUAUAACCUAGUCAAUCUCACUUUUCCCUAUAUAACCUAGUUACUCUCACUAUAUAACCUAGUUACUAUCACUAUUCCCUAUAUAACCUAGAUACUCUCACUAUAUAACCUAGUUACUCUCACUAUUCCCUAUAUAACCUAGUUACUAUCACUAUUCCCUAUAUAACCUAGUUACUAUCACUAUUCCCUAUAUAACCUAGUUACUCUC
Molecule: long non-coding RNA, 1300 nt
Organism: Oncorhynchus tshawytscha (Chinook salmon)
Lineage: Eukaryota; Metazoa; Chordata; Actinopteri; Salmoniformes; Salmonidae
Source: Ensembl